This 1931-nucleotide long non-coding RNA is filed under the name Oryctolagus cuniculus (rabbit). RNAcentral's name for it is "lncRNA (ENSOCUG00000034162.1)". The record is from RNAcentral. Lineage: Eukaryota; Metazoa; Chordata; Mammalia; Lagomorpha; Leporidae.
CAUGUAUGAUGAUUAUUGUCAGGGUGGUUCAAAAGGUAGCAAUGUAGCUCAUUACAUUAACAUAUGAGAGAAAUCAUCAAACAAAGAUUUAAUUAUUUAUUUGAAAGGCAGACUGACAUAGAGGGAGAGACAGAUCUUCCAUCCUCUGGUUCACUCCCCAAAUGCCUAGGAGAGCUGAUCCUGGGCCAGGGCAAAGUAAUGAACUAUAAAGAGAACAUAUUUCAUAUAUUUCAUAGAUAUAAUUCCAAGAAGAUAACCAUACUUCAGCAGUUUGCAACAUAAUUAUACUUAACAAAUGUAUUAAAUAUGACUUUAAUGUAAAUACUUAAAUAAAAUAAUUAAGAGCAAUUUAUGAUGACCAAAUGGAUUUCCUUUUUUUUCUUUUGAGAAGAUUUACUCCUUCAGUCUCCUUUAGUCAUAUAAUCAAAUGAUCUUCACGUUUCAUCAAAACAGACCCAUGAUGUGUCACAGUCUGAUUUAGGUUUGUGAGGAUUAUAUUACUUUAGAAGUAAUAUUCAGUACCUUCCUAUUUUUCUUAUCUUUUUUUCUUUUGGUCUUCAGCCAUUCCUGAAUCCAACCAUCUACAGAACUCACAACUCAGCAUAUCAGUUUUCUACAUCAACGGCUGCAACUGGUGAUACUGGUACCAAUUUAACUGAUGUCUGCACCAACACAGGGUCCCUUGGACACUCCGAAUUUCCAAACAGAGAAUUCCUACAUGGUCAGGUAACACAACAUUUCCACAAUGGUUGGUCUUUAUGGAAAAUCUUCCUAGCUUGUCUCUUAGCUGGUGUGAUAACAACAGCAUUUGGAGUACUCAUAAUGUCCUUGGUGUACAAUGGGAGAAAUAACAAUACUUCCAUUGUUAUUCAAGUUCCUCAAAGCCAAGGGACAUCCUCAUCUACUACUGGGACAUCUACAAGUUCAAAACCUGUAGCCACCACUACAUCUACCUCAACAUCCACUUCAACUCAGCCUACUAGCACAAUAACAAUGGCAGGUGGCUCAACAGAACCUACCAGCAAAACAACCAUCACUAAUACUACAACUGAAACUACCACAGCAGCGGCCACCACUUCCACCAAAGAAACAAGCAGCCAAACCAAUUCAGGCACUACAACAAGCACAAGCACAUCUACAACCACAGAGGCCAGCACUACUGCUUCAACUGGGCCUACUACAUCUGCUUCCAGCAGCACUGCUUCUACUGCACCAUCUAGUACUGCAACUCCUGAGACAACAGCAACUACAGAGACUACAGCAACUACAGUCACUUCACCUGAAACUACAACAUCUACUUCCAGCACCACUGCUUCUACUGCACCAUCUAGUACUGCAACACCUGAGACAACAGCAACUACAGAGACAAAAGGAACUACAGUCACUUCAACUGAAACUACAACAUCUACUUCCAGCACCACUGCUUCUACUGCACCAUCUAGUACUGCAACUCCUGAGACAACAGCAACUACAGAGACAACAGGAACUACAGUCACUUCACCUAAAACUACAACAUCUACUUCCAGCAGCACUGCUUCUACAGUACCAUCUAGUACUGCAACUCUUGAGACAACAACAACUACAGAGAGAACAGGAACUACAGUCACUUCACCUGAAACUAAAACAUCUGCUUCCAGCAGCAGUGCUUCUACUGUACUCUCAAGUACAGCCACUCCAGAGACUACGGUAACUACAGUCACUUCACCUAUAACUACAUCGUCUUCCAGCACCACUGCUUCUACUGCACCAUCUAGUACUGCAACUCCUGAGACAACAGCAACUACAGAGACAUCAGGAACUACAGUCACUUCACCUGAAACUGCAACGUCUGUUUCCAGCAGCACUGCUUCUACUGCACCAUCUAGUACUGCAACUCCUGAGACAACAGCAACUACAGAGACAACAGGAACUACAGUCACUUCACCAGAAAC